Molecule: ribosomal RNA, 451 nt
Filed under: uncultured bacterium
Lineage: Bacteria
Description: partial 16S ribosomal RNA
Rfam family: Bacterial small subunit ribosomal RNA
Source: RNAcentral
GUGGGGAAUUUUGGACAAUGGGGGAAACCCUGAUCCAGCCAUCCCGCGUGUGCGAUGAAGGCCUUCGGGUUGUAAAGCACUUUUGGCAGGAAAGAAAUCGGACGGGCUAAUAUCCUGUCUGGAUGACGGUACCUGCAGAAUAAGCACCGGCUAACUACGUGCCAGCAGCCGCGGUAAUACGUAGGGUGCAAGCGUUAAUCGGAAUUACUUGGCGUAAAGCGUGCGCAGGCGGUUCGGAAAGAAAGAUGUGAAAUCCCAGAGCUCAACCUGGGAACUGCAUUUUUAACUACCGGGCUAGAGUAUGUCAGAGGGGGGUGGAAUUCCGCGUGUAGCAGUGAAAUGCGUAGAGAUGCGGAGGAACACCGAUGGCGAAGGCAGCCCCCUGGGAUAAUACUGACGCUCAUGCACGAAAGCGUGGGGAGCAAACAGGAUUAGAUACCCCUGUAGUCCC